UACCUGCGCCACAAAUGGUAACCGAUUUUAUUGGGUUUAGAGUGUCCGUAGCCGGCUUAGUGAGUCCCUGGUGAAAUCUGGCAGCUAACUGUCAGGAGUGCUGGGGAUACUGCUAGGCUUGAGAUCGGGAUAGGGUAAAGGUAUUCCACGUGUAGGAGUUAAAUCCUUUAAUCCGUGGAGGACCACCGGUUGCGAAGGCGUUUACCUGGAACGAGUCUGACGGUGAGGGACGAAAGCCGGGGGAGCAAAUGGG
RNAcentral lists this ribosomal RNA (253 nucleotides) under uncultured archaeon. RNAcentral describes it as "partial 16S ribosomal RNA". It matches the Rfam family "Archaeal small subunit ribosomal RNA", at positions 474 to 727 of the family's 1478-position model. The record is from RNAcentral.